RNAcentral lists this ribosomal RNA (505 nucleotides) under uncultured bacterium. RNAcentral's name for it is "bacterial SSU rRNA". It matches the Rfam family "Bacterial small subunit ribosomal RNA", at positions 30 to 523 of the family's 1533-position model. The record is from RNAcentral.
AUUGAACGCUGGCGGCAUGCCUUACACAUGCAAGUCGAACGGCAGCACGGGGGCAACCCUGGUGGCGAGUGGCGAACGGGUGAGUAACAUAUCGGAACAUACCCUAGAGUGGGGGAUAACGUAGCGAAAGUUACGCUAAUACCGCAUACGAUCUAAGGAUGAAAGUGGGGGAUCUUCGGACCUCAUGCUCAUGGAGUGGCCGAUAUCUGAUUAGCUAGUUGGUGAGGUAAAGGCUCACCAAGGCGACGAUCAGUAGCUGGUUUGAGAGAACGACCAGCCACACUGGAACUGAGACACGGUCCAGACUCCUACGGGAGGCAGCAGUGGGGAAUUUUGGACAAUGGGGGGCAACCCUGAUCCAGCAAUGCCGCGUGAGUGAAGAAGGCCUUCGGGUUGUAAAGCUCUUUGUCUAGGGAAGAAAAGGUACGUGGGCUAAUAUCCACGACUGCUGACGGUACCCUGAAGAAUAAGCACCGGCUAACUACGUAGCCAGCAGCCGCGGUAA